CCUACGGGUGGCAGCAGUAGGGAAUAUUGGUCAAUGGAUGGAAGUCUGAACCAGCCAUGCCGCGUGCAGGAAGAAGGCCUUCUGGGUUGUAAACUGCUUUUGCCGGGGGAUAAAAAGCUCAUGCGUGGGCGAUUGCAGGUACCCGGUGAAUAAGCCACGGCUAACUACGUGCCAGCAGCCGCGGUAAUACGUAGGUGGCGAGCGUUGUCCGGAUUUAUUGGGUUUAAAGGGUGCGUAGGCGGCCUGAUGAGUCAGUUCUGAAAUAUCCCGGCUUAACCGGGAGGGUGGGAUUGAUACUGUUGGGCUUGAGUGGACUCGAGGUAGGCGGAAUUGACGGUGUAGCGGUGAAAUGCUUAGAUAUCGUCAAGAACACCGAUAGUGUAGACAGCUUACUAGGGUUCAACUGACGCUGAGGCACGAAAGUGUGGGGAUCAAACAGG
Molecule: ribosomal RNA, 440 nt
Filed under: uncultured bacterium
Lineage: Bacteria
Description: bacterial SSU rRNA
Rfam family: Bacterial small subunit ribosomal RNA
Source: RNAcentral